UACGGAGGGUGCAAGCAUUAAUCGGAUUUACUGGGCGUAAAGGGCGCGUAGGCGGGCCUGCAAGUCAAAUGUGAAAUCCCGGAGCUCAACUUCGGAACGGCAUUUGAAACUGCAAGUCUAUAGAGGGAUGGCGGAGAAAACGGAAUUCCACGUGUAGCGGUGAAAUGCGUAGAUAUGUGGAAGAACACCUGUGGCGAAGGCGGCCCUCUGGUCCAGUACUGACACUCAAGUGCGAAAGCGUGGGGAGCAAACAGG
This 255-nucleotide ribosomal RNA is filed under the name uncultured bacterium. RNAcentral's name for it is "partial 16S ribosomal RNA". It matches the Rfam family "Bacterial small subunit ribosomal RNA", at positions 524 to 776 of the family's 1533-position model. The record is from RNAcentral.